GUGACCUCAAAUCAGGUAGGACUACCCGCUGAACUUAAGCAUAUCAAUAAGCGGAGGAAAAGAAACUAACAAGGAUUCCCCUAGUAACUGCGAGUGAAGCGGGAAAAGCUCAAAUUUAAAAUCUGUCAGUCUAUGGCUGUCCGAGUUGUAAUCUAGAGAAGUGUUAUCCGCGCUGGACCGUGUACAAGUCUCCUGGAAUGGAGCGUCAUAGAGGGUGAGAAUCCCGUCUUUGACACGGACUACCAGGGCUUUGUGAUGCGCUCUCAAAGAGUCGAGUUGUUUGGGAAUGCAGCUCAAAAUGGGUGGUAAAUUCCAUCUAAAGCUAAAUAUUGGCGAGAGACCGAUAGCGAACAAGUACCGUGAGGGAAAGAUGAAAAGAACUUUGGAAAGAGAGUUAAACAGUACGUGAAAUUGCUGAAAGGGAAACGCUUGAAGUCAGUCGCGUUGUCCAGGGAUCAACCUAGCUUCUGCUUGGUGUACUUUCU
RNAcentral lists this ribosomal RNA (485 nucleotides) under Phlegmacium cyanites. Its description in RNAcentral is "eukaryotic LSU rRNA". It matches the Rfam family "Eukaryotic large subunit ribosomal RNA", at positions 1 to 478 of the family's 3401-position model. The record is from RNAcentral. Lineage: Eukaryota; Fungi; Basidiomycota; Agaricomycetes; Agaricales; Cortinariaceae.